AGAGUUAUUCAGAUGCAAAUUCCUGACAUCGUCUCCACUGAGGAAUUUCGCUGAGAGACAUUCUAAUGAAAUACUUGCGUGAGGUCUUCAAAAGCUACAUCUCAGGACAGACAAACAAACAAAUGGAAGCAGUAUGCUGGUGAUGAUGCUCUCAACAAUCGACAGUCGAGCAACAAUUACACAAAAGUAUCCUCUCAUGAACAAUAAGCCUAGUAUGAGACUGGAGUCAUGCCACGAACACAGUGUGCAGAUGAAGCUGACAGGAAGCUGGCAAGGGCCACAGGAUUUACACAAGCUCCAGUCUGGAUCCAGAACACCUGAGAAGAGAUGAUGCUGACCCUCA
This is a long non-coding RNA of Carassius auratus (goldfish), 343 nucleotides long. RefSeq lists it as uncharacterized. The record is from RefSeq and is a predicted model, not a curated record. The transcript has 4 exons. NCBI's taxonomy places the organism in Eukaryota, Metazoa, Chordata, Actinopteri, Cypriniformes, Cyprinidae.